CCCUUAGAUGUUCUGGGCCGCACGCGCGCUACACUGAUGCAUUCAACGAGCCUAUCCUUGACCGACAGGUCCGGGUAAUCUUUGAAUCAGCAUCGUGACGGGGAUAGAUUAUUGCAAUUAUUAAUCUUCAACGAGGAAUGCCUAGUAGGCGCAAGUCAUCAGCUUGCGUCGAUUACGUCCCUGCCCUUUGUACACACCGCCCGUCGCUCCUACCGAUUGGGUGUGCUGGUGAAAUGUUCGGAUCGGCCGUUUGUCGCGGUUUCCGCGUCAUGUGGCUGAGAAGUUCAUUAAACCCUCCCACCUAGAGGAAGGAGAAGUCGUAACA
Molecule: ribosomal RNA, 325 nt
Filed under: uncultured eukaryote
Lineage: Eukaryota
Description: partial 18S ribosomal RNA
Rfam family: Eukaryotic small subunit ribosomal RNA
Source: RNAcentral